UACGGAAGGCAGCAGUGGGGAAUAUUGCACAAUGGGCGAAAGCCUGAUGCAGCUAUGCCGCGUGUAUGAAGAAGGCCUUAGGGUUGUAAAGUACUUUCAUCGGGGAGGAAAAACAAAACUAAUAAUUUUAUUCUUGACGUUACCCGAAAAAGAAGCACCGGCUAACUCCGUGCCAGCAGCCGCGGUAAUACGGAGGGUGCUAGCGUUAAUCAGAAUUACUGGGCGUAAAGAGCACGUAGGUGGUUUUUUUAAGUCAGAUGUGAAAUCCCUGGGCUUAACCUAGGAACUGCAUUUUGAAACUGAAAUACUAGAGUAUCGUAGAGGGAGGUAGAAUUCUAGGUGUAGCGGUGAAAUGCGUAGAUAUCUGGAGGAAUACCUGUGGCGAAAGCGGCCUCCUAAACGAAUACUGACACUGAGGUGCGAAAGCGUGGGGAGCAAACAGGGAUUAGAUACC
RNAcentral lists this ribosomal RNA (454 nucleotides) under uncultured bacterium. RNAcentral describes it as "bacterial SSU rRNA". It matches the Rfam family "Bacterial small subunit ribosomal RNA", at positions 340 to 786 of the family's 1533-position model. The record is from RNAcentral.